UAUUAGGUUGAUGCAAAAGUAAUUGCGGUUUUUGCCAUUACUUUCAAUGGCAAAAACCGCAAUUACUUUUGCAUCAACUUAAUA
This 84-nucleotide microRNA precursor is filed under the name Homo sapiens (human). RNAcentral describes it as "mir-548 microRNA precursor family". It matches the Rfam family "mir-548 microRNA precursor family". The record is from Rfam by way of RNAcentral. Lineage: Eukaryota; Metazoa; Chordata; Mammalia; Primates; Hominidae.